Molecule: ribosomal RNA, 497 nt
Filed under: uncultured bacterium
Lineage: Bacteria
Description: partial 16S ribosomal RNA
Rfam family: Bacterial small subunit ribosomal RNA
Source: RNAcentral
GAUGAACGCUGGCGGCGUGCCUAAUACAUGCAAGUCGAGCGAACAGACGAGGAGCUUGCUCCUCUGACGUUAGCGGCGGACGGGUGAGUAACACGUGGAUAACCUACCUAUAAGACUGGGAUAACUUCGGGAAACCGGAGCUAAUACCGGAUAAUAUAUUGAACCGCAUGGUUCAAUAGUGAAAGACGGUUUUGCUGUCACUUAUAGAUGGAUCCGCGCCGCAUUAGCUAGUUGGUAAGGUAACGGCUUACCAAGGCAACGAUGCGUAGCCGACCUGAGAGGGUGAUCGGCCACACUGGAACUGAGACACGGUCCAGACUCCUACGGGAGGCAGCAGUAGGGAAUCUUCCGCAAUGGGCGAAAGCCUGACGGAGCAACGCCGCGUGAGUUAUGAAGGUCUUCGGAUCGUAAAACUCUGUUAUUGGGGAAGAACAAAUGUGUAAGUAACUAUGCACGUCUUGACGGUACCUAAUCAGAAAGCCACGGCUAACUACGUG